RNAcentral lists this ribosomal RNA (253 nucleotides) under uncultured bacterium. RNAcentral's name for it is "partial 16S ribosomal RNA". It matches the Rfam family "Bacterial small subunit ribosomal RNA", at positions 524 to 776 of the family's 1533-position model. The record is from RNAcentral.
UACGGAGGGGGCAAGCGUUGUUCGGAAUCAUUGGGCGUAAAGGGCGCGUAGGUGGUCUUGUAUGUCUACCGUGAAAGCGUACGGCUCAACCGUAUUUAGUCGGUAGAAACUGCAGGACUUGAGGCUGGGAGGGGCUGGUGGAAUUCCCUGUGUAGCGGUGAAAUGCGUAGAGAUGGGGGAGAACACUCGUGGCGAAGGCGGCCAGCUGGACCAGUUCUGACACUGAGGAGCGAAAGCGUGGGGAGCGAACAGG